UACGUAGGGACCGAGCGUUGUCCGGAAUCAUUGGGCGUAAAGAGCGUGUAGGCGGCCACUUAAGUCCUGCGUGAAAUCUUGCGGCUCAACCGCCAAGCGGUCGUGGGAAACUGGGUGGCUAGAGUGCGGGAGAGGAGAGUGGGAAUUCCUGGUGUAGCGGUGGAAUGCGCAGAUAUCAGGAAGAACACCCGUGGCGAAGGCGGCUCUCUGGAACGCAACUGACGCUGAGACGCGAAAGCGUGGGGAGCAAACAGG
Molecule: ribosomal RNA, 255 nt
Filed under: uncultured bacterium
Lineage: Bacteria
Description: partial 16S ribosomal RNA
Rfam family: Bacterial small subunit ribosomal RNA
Source: RNAcentral